GACGAACGCUGGCGGCGUGCUUAACACAUGCAAGUCGAACGGGGACGCCCUUCGGGGUGGCUCAGUGGCGAACGGGUGAGUAACACGUGAGCAACCUGCCCCUGGCUCUGGGACAACCACUGGAAACGGUGGCUAAUACCGGAUACGACCCGGCUCGGCAGCGAGAGUGGGUGGACAGGUAGUCGUCUGGGGAUGGGCUCGCGGCCUAUCAGCUUGUUGGUGAGGUGAAGGCUCACCAAGGCGACGACGGGCAGCCCGCCUGCGAGGGCGAGCGGCCACACUGGGACUGAGACACGGCCCAGACUCGUACGGGAGGCAGCAGUGGGGAAUAGUGCACAAUGGGCGAGAGCCUGAUGCAGCGACGCCGCGUGAGGGAUGACGUCCUUCGGGUUGUAAACCUCUUUCAGCUCAGAAGAAGCGAAAGUGACGGUAGGGGCAGAAGAAGCACCGGCUAACUACGUG
This 462-nucleotide ribosomal RNA is filed under the name uncultured bacterium. RNAcentral's name for it is "partial 16S ribosomal RNA". It matches the Rfam family "Bacterial small subunit ribosomal RNA", at positions 28 to 507 of the family's 1533-position model. The record is from RNAcentral.